RNAcentral lists this long non-coding RNA (813 nucleotides) under Olea europaea (common olive). RNAcentral's name for it is "long non-coding RNA (OEUR_LNC012733)". The stretch from base 514 to 665 matches the Rfam family "U4 spliceosomal RNA". The record is from RNAcentral. Lineage: Eukaryota; Viridiplantae; Streptophyta; Magnoliopsida; Lamiales; Oleaceae.
GACAGAAAGUGGAUAGAUAAGAGACAAAGAAAUAUUGAUAAAAGAUAGGAAAAUAUUUUUCAUUCAAUCAAAUAGAAUAAAAGUAGGAAUUUAUCAUGAAAAAUAUUGGAAAUCAAAAGCACCCUAAAUUAUUUUAUAAUAUUUUCCACCAAGUUUCGCAAAGUUGCAAUCUUCUUCUUCUCCUCACAGCGUCUUCAAAAUUGGAAACCUGCAAGGGUUCUCUAUGAAUUAUCAUAACUUGGAAGUUAGAAAAAAACUACUACACAACCAAAUCAACGAAUGAAUUCAAGUUAUACCUUUAUCCCUCAAUUGAAUUAAUAUUGAUCAGAAACGGCGCCCAAUUUGAAUGUUUGAAAGCGGUAGUCGCCGGAGGGUGCAUUCGUUGAUCUCCUCUUCCUUCCUCAGCGCCCGAACACAGAACACCGCCUGGGAGCGUUUGUCCCACAUCGAAAGAUAUAAAAAAUGUGUGCGGGAAACCAAUUAUAAAAAGCGGGGGCAAAAUCUGCCCAAUUCAUCUUUGCGCUUGGGGCAAUGACGCAGCUAGUGAGGUUCUAACCGAGGCGCGUCUAUUGCUGGUUGAAAACUAUUUCCAAACCCCCUCUUCGGCCUGGGUUCGCCCCUGGCCGUUGAGAAUUUCUGGAAAGGGCUCCCUUUUGGGUCAGCCCUACAAUUCUAGUCUAAAAUUCUAGCAUAUUUGUUAAUGGGGCUGAUGAUUACAAGCCCAUUUAAAUUUUGGGUUAUUAUAAGGAAGGCGGAUGGGUGUCUAAGGACACUCGGUGCCCCCUACUGGAGGGGCACCUGGGUGCGGUGCCU